GACAGAGGGUGCAAGCGUUGUUCGGAAUCAUUGGGCGUAAAGCGCGCGUAGGCGGCUUGUUAAGUCGAAUGUGAAAUCCCAGGGCUCAACCCUGGAAGUGCAUUCGAAACUGGCAAGCUUGAGUCCUGGAGAGGGUGGUGGAAUUCCCAGUGUAGAAGUGAAAUUCGUAGAUAUUGGGAGGAACACCAGUGGCGAAGGCGACCACCUGGACAGAGACUGACGCUGAGGCGCGAAAGCGUGGGGAGCAAACAGG
This 253-nucleotide ribosomal RNA is filed under the name uncultured bacterium. Its description in RNAcentral is "partial 16S ribosomal RNA". It matches the Rfam family "Bacterial small subunit ribosomal RNA", at positions 524 to 776 of the family's 1533-position model. The record is from RNAcentral.